CAAGGUCUCCGUUGGUGAACCAGCGGAGGGAUCAUUU
Molecule: ribosomal RNA, 37 nt
Filed under: Phyllachora sp.
Lineage: Eukaryota; Fungi; Ascomycota; Sordariomycetes; Phyllachorales; Phyllachoraceae
Description: partial 18S ribosomal RNA
Source: RNAcentral